GGUGGCUCAGUGAUAGAGCUCUUGUCUUGCACGCAUGAGUCCCUGGGUUCGAUUCCUCAGCACCA
Non-coding RNA from Dipodomys ordii (Ord's kangaroo rat), 65 nucleotides. The record is from Rfam. NCBI's taxonomy places the organism in Eukaryota, Metazoa, Chordata, Mammalia, Rodentia, Heteromyidae.